GUAAGCGCAGCGAUGCGUUGAGCUAACCGGUACUAAUGAACCGUGAGGCUUAACCUUACAACGCCGAAGGUGUUU
This 75-nucleotide ribosomal RNA is filed under the name Escherichia coli. RNAcentral describes it as "partial 23S ribosomal RNA". Lineage: Bacteria; Pseudomonadati; Pseudomonadota; Gammaproteobacteria; Enterobacterales; Enterobacteriaceae. The record is from RNAcentral. RNAcentral also lists the same sequence under 1 other name.